UGAGGAAUAUUGGUCAAUGGACGGAAGUCUGAACCAGCCAUGCCGCGUGCAGGAAGACGGCCUUAUGGGUUGUAAACUGCUUUUGUGCGAGAGCAGUAAGGGUUACGUGUAACCCGAUGAGAGUAUCGUACGAAUAAGCAUCGGCUAACUCCGUGCCAGCAGCCGCGGUAAUACGGAGGAUGCAAGCGUUAUCCGGAUUCAUUGGGUUUAAAGGGUGCGUAGGCGGAUUAAUAAGUCAGUGGUGAAAUAUUGCAGCUUAACUGUAAUCGUGCCAUAGAUACUGUUAGUCUAGAGAGCAAAUGGAGUAGGCGGAAUAUGUCAUGUAGCGGUGAAAUGCAUAGAUAUGACAUAGAACACCGAUCGCGAAGGCAGCUUACUAAGAUGCAACUGACGCUGAUGCACGAAAGCGUGGGGAUCAAGCAGGAUUAGAUACCCUGGUAGUCCACGCUGUAAACGAUGAUAACUCGUUGUCGGCGAUACACAGUCGGUGACUGAGCGAAAGCGAUAAGUUAUCCAC
Molecule: ribosomal RNA, 517 nt
Filed under: uncultured bacterium
Lineage: Bacteria
Description: bacterial SSU rRNA
Rfam family: Bacterial small subunit ribosomal RNA
Source: RNAcentral